GGGCAGAUACCCUAGUGGACAAAGGGGGCUGACUGUAAAUCAGCUGGCAACGCCUUCGGUGGUUCGAAUCCGCCUCUGCCCA
This 82-nucleotide transfer RNA is filed under the name Chloroflexota bacterium. RNAcentral describes it as "tRNA-Tyr". It matches the Rfam family "tRNA". Rfam says of the family: Transfer RNA (tRNA) molecules are approximately 80 nucleotides in length. Lineage: Bacteria; Bacillati; Chloroflexota. The record is from RNAcentral. RNAcentral also lists the same sequence under 3 other names.